RNAcentral lists this ribosomal RNA (468 nucleotides) under uncultured bacterium. RNAcentral's name for it is "partial 16S ribosomal RNA". It matches the Rfam family "Bacterial small subunit ribosomal RNA", at positions 28 to 507 of the family's 1533-position model. The record is from RNAcentral.
GACGAACGCUGGCGGCGUGCUUAACACAUGCAAGUCGAACGGAAAGGCCCUGCUUUUGUGGGGUGCUCGAGUGGCGAACGGGUGAGUAACACGUGAGUAACCUGCCCUUGACUUUGGGAUAACUUCAGGAAACUGGGGCUAAUACCGGAUAGGAGCUCCUGCUGCAUGGUGGGGGUUGGAAAGUUUCGGCGGUUGGGGAUGGACUCGCGGCUUAUCAGCUUGUUGGUGGGGUAGUGGCUUACCAAGGCUUUGACGGGUAGCCGGCCUGAGAGGGUGACCGGACACAUUGGGACUGAGAUACGGCCCAGACUCCUACGGGAGGCAGCAGUGGGGAAUAUUGCACAAUGGGCGGAAGCCUGAUGCAGCAACGCCGCGUGCGGGAUGACGGCCUUCGGGUUGUAAACCGCUUUCGCCUGUGACGAAGCGUGAGUGACGGCAAUGGGUAAAGAAGCACCGGCUAACUACGUG